GGAGAGAUGGCUCAGUGAGUAAGAGCACUGGCUGCUUCCUGAGAACCUGGGUUCAAGUCCCAGCAUCUGCA
Molecule: transfer RNA, 71 nt
Filed under: Mesocricetus auratus (golden hamster)
Lineage: Eukaryota; Metazoa; Chordata; Mammalia; Rodentia; Cricetidae
Rfam family: tRNA
About the family: Transfer RNA (tRNA) molecules are approximately 80 nucleotides in length. Their secondary structure includes four short double-helical elements and three loops (D, anti-codon, and T loops).
Source: Rfam by way of RNAcentral